AUGCGCCCCUGCAGCCCCUGGGGGCGGGGAGCACGUGGCUGUGUGUGAUGCCCCUCUCUGCAAGCACCGCCCCCACAGCUCCCCAUUCCCAGCCAAUGGGAGCUGUGGGGACAGUGCUUACAGACAGGAGCAGCGUGUGGCGGGAGACCCCUGACCCCCCGCCCCCAGGCUGCGCUGGCCGCUUCCAGGAGCGGCGUGGGGCCGGGGCAGCAGGGAGCCUAUCUUGGCGGCAGCCCAGCUGCACACUGGAGAUUGUGAUCGACUGGGAGAUCCUCCAGGAUCGACCAGUCGAUCACAAUUGACCAGUUGGUGAAAGCUGUUUUAGAUAAACACAACUGGCAAUCUUAGUGGGAGAGAAGGACAUAAAAAAGUUGUUUGUUUUCAUUAUUAUACUGUGUAUGUCAAAUGGAAGCUGGUUAUCUUGCACAUAAUCACAGAAUGAAAUAUCUUUUUGUUUAAAAAAAAAAGAAGUGUUCAAGUAGGCAGAAUUAGGGUUACUGUGGGAAUCUUAACUUUAAACUGCCUCACUUUAUAGCAAUUCAAGGCUCAAGGUUGGGUGGUAUAUUAACAGUUGUCAUUUAGUAUCCUUUUCUUAACAAUCUAACAGAAAAAGUACUGUGAUCAAAUUAUUAUUUUGUCAAAACCUGAAUGUGCAUUUAUUUAAGUGUCUGAUCAAUUUAUUCAAGUUUUUUUUUUUUGCCCCCUCCCUGCAAGUUUUCCAGAACAAUUUGCGUUGAGUCUUAGAACAGAGAUUUGAAAUUUUAGCCCAAGAGAUUGCUUUGGAAAGUGACAAUAAGGAGCUUUGAAUAGAAGUGACCAUCUCUCAGUCAUGAGUAAAGCAAAAUUAUCCAAUGAGGUCACUGGCCUACCGUGCUGGGGGAAACAGUAUACAUGAUACAUCUUGAUUUUAGUAAGGCUCUUGUCCCAGUCCCACAAGAUGUUCUCAUAAACAAACUAGGGAAAUGUGGUUGAGAUGAAACUACUAUAAAGUGGUUGAAGAACUGGCUGAGACACCGUACUCAAAGAGCAGUUAUCAAUGGUUCGUUGUCAAACUGAGGAUGUAGUUACAGCAGGAAGACGCUAACUAAUCUCUGCUGAUUGUGGUAGGUGCAGUUUGUUAACCCAGCCAAGAUACAGAAGUGGGUGCUGCCCCUUUGGUCAGAGGAUCUAGGCUAACCAGUCCUCGGGGAGCAACCCUAAGAGCAGUCAAACCGAAGGAGUAAUUUUGGGCUUAAAGUUGUGUAACUUCACUUCAAAUCAUUUUGUUAAAGCCAAACCCUAAGAAGGUGGUUAUCUUUGCCCUUAUAUAACAUGUGUGUACUAUGUUUUGGAGCAGGUUGGGAAAGACACCUGCUUACACUUAUCAAAUUGCUAAUCACCAAAACUGUGUUUUUAAACAGUAUAUGGCUCCGCAUUAAACUGUUCUCUUCUUAUCUGA
Long non-coding RNA from Chelonia mydas (Green sea turtle), 1438 nucleotides. RefSeq lists it as uncharacterized. The transcript is spliced from 2 exons. The record is from RefSeq and is a predicted model, not a curated record. Lineage: Eukaryota; Metazoa; Chordata; Testudines; Cheloniidae.